This 73-nucleotide transfer RNA is filed under the name Paramuricea clavata. It matches the Rfam family "tRNA". Rfam says of the family: Transfer RNA (tRNA) molecules are approximately 80 nucleotides in length. Their secondary structure includes four short double-helical elements and three loops (D, anti-codon, and T loops). Lineage: Eukaryota; Metazoa; Cnidaria; Anthozoa; Malacalcyonacea; Plexauridae. The record is from Rfam by way of RNAcentral.
GACCGCGUAGCUCAGUUGGAAGAGCAUUGGGCUAGUACUCAAAAGGUCGUAGGUUCGAAUCCCACCGUGGCCA